RNAcentral lists this signal recognition particle RNA (97 nucleotides) under Thiohalocapsa sp. PB-PSB1. RNAcentral describes it as "uncultured Thiohalocapsa sp. PB-PSB1 Bacterial small signal recognition particle RNA". It matches the Rfam family "Bacterial small signal recognition particle RNA". Rfam says of the family: The signal recognition particle (SRP) is a universally conserved ribonucleoprotein involved in the co-translational targeting of proteins to membranes. Archaeal SRP consists of a 7S RNA and homologues of the eukaryotic SRP19 and SRP54 proteins. In most bacteria, the SRP consists of a 4.5S RNA and the Ffh protein (a homologue of the eukaryotic SRP54 protein). RNAcentral also lists the same sequence under 1 other name. Lineage: Bacteria; Pseudomonadati; Pseudomonadota; Gammaproteobacteria; Chromatiales; Chromatiaceae. The record is from Rfam by way of RNAcentral.
CGCCGGUCCCCUCGCAACGCCAAGCCGUGAACCCGGUCAGGCCCGGAAGGGAGCAGCCGCAGCGGUGGACGUGUGUGCCGGGGUGUGGCUGGCUUGG